RNAcentral lists this non-coding RNA (22 nucleotides) under Arabidopsis thaliana (thale cress). The record is from RNAcentral. Lineage: Eukaryota; Viridiplantae; Streptophyta; Magnoliopsida; Brassicales; Brassicaceae.
GUGAACGGCACUUGCACAUGGG